This 329-nucleotide ribosomal RNA is filed under the name uncultured Anaerolineaceae bacterium. RNAcentral describes it as "bacterial SSU rRNA". It matches the Rfam family "Bacterial small subunit ribosomal RNA", at positions 1041 to 1382 of the family's 1533-position model. Lineage: Bacteria; Bacillati; Chloroflexota; Anaerolineae; Anaerolineales; Anaerolineaceae. The record is from RNAcentral.
CUGCAUGGCUGUCGUCAGCUCGUGUCGUGAGAUGUUCGGUUAAGUCCGCUAACGAGCGCAACCCUCGCUGUGUGUUACAAGUGUCACACGGAACUGCCGGUCAUAAACCGGAGGAAGGUGGGGAUGACGUCAAGUCAGCAUGGCCUUUAUAUCCUGGGCUACACACACGCUACAAUGGGAAGGGACAAUAGGUUGCGAAGCCGCGAGGUGGAGCCAAUCCAGCAAAACUUCCCUCAGUUCAGAUUGCAGGCUGCAACUCGCCUGCAUGAAGUUGGAGUUGCUAGUAAACGCAGGUCAGCCAUACUGCGUUGAAUACGUUCCCGGGGCUU